GACGAACCGUGCGAACGUUGUUCGGAAUCACUGGGCUUAAAGGGCGCGUAGGCGGACCACCAAGUCGGGGGUGAAAUCUUUCAGCUCAACUGGAAAAGAGCUUCCGAUACUGGUGGUCUCGAGGGAGGUAGGGGUCGAGGGAACUAAUGGUGGAGCGGUGAAAUGCGUAGAUAUCAUUAGGAACGCCGGUGGCGAAAGCGCUCGACUGGACCUCUUCUGACGCUGAGGCGCGAAAGCCAGGGGAGCAAACAGG
Molecule: ribosomal RNA, 253 nt
Filed under: uncultured bacterium
Lineage: Bacteria
Description: partial 16S ribosomal RNA
Rfam family: Bacterial small subunit ribosomal RNA
Source: RNAcentral